CCUACGGGAGGCAGCAGUGGGGAAUAUUGCACAAUGGGGGAAACCCUGAUGCAGCGACGCCGCGUGAGUGAAGAAGUAUUUCGGUAUGUAAAGCUCUAUCAGCAGGGAAGAAAAUGACGGUACCUGACUAAGAAGCCCCGGCUAACUACGUGCCAGCAGCCGCGGUAAUACGUAGGGGGCAAGCGUUAUCCGGAUUUACUGGGUGUAAAGGGAGCGUAGACGGUGAUGCAAGUCAGAAGUGAAAGCCCCGGGCUCAACUCCGGGACUGCUUUUGAAACUGUGUGACUGGAGUGCAGGAGAGGUAAGCGGAAUUCCUGGUGUAGCGGUGAAAUGCGUAGAUAUCAGGAGGAACACCAGUGGCGAAGGCGGCUUACUGGACUGUAACUGACGUUGAGGCUUGAAAGCGUGGGGAGCAAACAGGAUUAGAUACCCUAGUAGUC
RNAcentral lists this ribosomal RNA (440 nucleotides) under uncultured bacterium. RNAcentral describes it as "partial 16S ribosomal RNA". It matches the Rfam family "Bacterial small subunit ribosomal RNA", at positions 338 to 795 of the family's 1533-position model. The record is from RNAcentral.